UGUAUCUGAAGUCUGACGAGGAUGAGAACCUCCGGGGGCAAGAGGUUAGACCCGAGCGAAGCGAGAGAACGUUGCGUCAGCAACGGCCCGCAGGGCGAGCCACGCAGUGGCGAGUCAUCCUCUAUCACCGACCA
This 134-nucleotide small RNA is filed under the name Salmonella enterica subsp. enterica serovar Montevideo. RNAcentral describes it as "RtT sRNA". It matches the Rfam family "RtT RNA". From Rfam's summary of the family: This family represents a bacterial cis-regulatory element known as RtT RNA. The record is from RNAcentral. Lineage: Bacteria; Pseudomonadati; Pseudomonadota; Gammaproteobacteria; Enterobacterales; Enterobacteriaceae.